AGCUCACUUCGUGCUCUAAAUAGUUGCACACAACAAAAAUUUUCCUUGAUCAUCUCUCGAAUAACCAUUAAGGUUCCUUGAGAAAAAGCUUUUGCUGGAGAUGGAAAUAGCAUAAUCAUAAAUUUCAUCAUGCGGAUCACGCAAGUGUUGUUUAAGAAUGUCUCCAACCUCAUUCAACGCUUCAGUCGCUAUCGACAAUCUUCGUUGUCGAUUGAGAAAUUCACGUCGUUCGGUAAGACUGCAAAGCCUAUAGAAUCUUUCAAGUUUGGUCGCAAUGAAUUACGUGUACGACUUGCACACGCUAUAAGUGAGAUUGAUCUCCUUCCUGAGAAUUUACUUAAAAUCAGUUCAGUUGAACUUGUCAGAGGAUGGUAUGUUCAAAGCUUUAGUGAGGUAACUGAGUUCCAAGAUGCACAAGAAACAGAUGAAGUUUUCAAGAGAUAUACCCAGUGUUUGAUGGACAUCAAACAGCGCCAUAAGUAUGUUGUUGAGACCAUGGCUCAGGGAAUUAUGGAAUUAAGAGAGAAGGAGGGUGAUGAUGCAUUUCAUCCAUCAGUACAAUACUUUUUAGAUCGUUUUUAUAUGAAUAUGAUAGGUUUUCAAAUGCAUACCAAACAACAUUUGAAGCUGUUUGGUGAAGAUGCAAGAAGCUCCAAAAGCGAUUUCAUUGGUUGUUUUAACCCAACUUGUUGUGUUACUUCAGUGGUACAAAGUGCAAUCGAGAAUGCUGCCUUCCUUUGUGAACAUUAUUAUUGUGCUGCUCCUGAGGUGGAAAUUUCUGAAUUUAAUGCUGUUGAUCUUAAGAAACCAAUCCAAAUGGCCUAUGUUCCUGAACACUUGUAUCACAUGCUCUUUGAAUUGUUGAAGAAUGCCAUGCGAGCAGUUGUGGAGCAACACGGAAGCAAUAUUUCCAUUCCUCCAAUAAAGAUGAUGAUAACCAAAGGUAGACAGGACAUGACAAUCAAGAUUUCUGAUCAAGGAGGUGGAAUCCCAAGGAGUACAAUUGACCAAGUGUUUGAGUAUCACUAUACAUCAGCAUCAGAGCCACUAAAAGCUGGUCCUGCUUCACCUAUAGCCGGUUAUGGAUACGGGCUGCCAUUAUCUAGACUCUAUGCCAGAUAUUUUGAUGGAGAAUUGCAACUUUAUUCCAUGGAGGGUUUUGGUACAGAUGCGGUGAUCUGGUUAAAGAAUUAGACUUCACUGUAAACUCAGGAAAGAUGCCAUAAAAGUAAACUGUAAGGCCGAAGAGGAAUGAUCGAGAGAGCGCUAUCAGCUGAAGCAAGUGAAAACUUACCUCAGUACACCAAAAGGACACCAAAGAAUUACGAAGCUAGACUAUCAGCUCAGC
Molecule: unclassified non-coding RNA, 1348 nt
Filed under: Stylophora pistillata
Lineage: Eukaryota; Metazoa; Cnidaria; Anthozoa; Scleractinia; Pocilloporidae
Description: pyruvate dehydrogenase (acetyl-transferring) kinase, mitochondrial-like, transcript variant X2
Source: RNAcentral